RNAcentral lists this ribosomal RNA (975 nucleotides) under unidentified. RNAcentral's name for it is "bacterial SSU rRNA". It matches the Rfam family "Bacterial small subunit ribosomal RNA". The record is from RNAcentral.
CUAAUGGAGAUUUAGUUGACGUACCUCAAGGACGUAAAUCGUCCAGCACGUAUACGUAUGCCAGCUUGAUUUGGCGUAAGCGAGCGCAGACGUUGAUUAAGUCUGAUGUGAAAGCCCGGAGCUCAACUCCGGAAUGGCAUUGGAAACUGGUUAACUUGAGUGCAGUAGAGGUAAGUGGAACUCCAUGUGUAGCGGUGGAAUGCGUAGAUAUAUGGAAGAACACCAGUGGCGAAGGCGGCUUACUGGACUGUAACUGACGUUGAGGCUCGAAAGUGUGGGUAGCAAACAGGAUUAGAUACCCUGGUAGUCCACACCGUAAACGAUGAACACUAGGUGUUAGGAGGUUUCCGCCUCUUAGUGCCGAAGCUAACGCAUUAAGUGUUCCGCCUGGGGAGUACGACCGCAAGGUUGAAACUCAAAGGAAUUGACGGGGACCCGCACAAGCGGUGGAGCAUGUGGUUUAAUUCGAAGCAACGCGAAGAACCUUACCAGGUCUUGACAUCCUUUGAAGCUUUUAGAGAUAGAAGUGUUCUCUUCGGAGACAAAGUGACAGGUGGUGCAUGGUCGUCGUCAGCUCGUGUCGUGAGAUGUUGGGUUAAGUCCCGCAACGAGCGCAACCCUUAUUGUUAGUUGCCAGCAUUCAGAUGGGCACUCUAGCGAGACUGCCGGUGACAAACCGGAGGAAGGCGGGGACGACGUCAGAUCAUCAUGCCCCUUAUGACCUGGGCUACACACGUGCUACAAUGGCGUAUACAACGAGUUGCCAACCCGCGAGGGUGAGCUAAUCUCUUAAAGUACGUCUCAGUUCGGAUUGUAGUCUGCAACUCGACUACAUGAAGUCGGAAUCGCUAGUAAUCGCGGAUCAGCACGCCGCGGUGAAUACGUUCCCGGGUCUUGUACACACCGCCCGUCACACCAUGGGAGUUUGUAAUGCCCAAAGCCGGUGGCCUAACCUUUUAGGAAGGAGCCGUCUAA